AUUGAACGCUGGCGGCAGGCCUAACACAUGCAAGUCGAGCGAGCGGCGGACGGGUGAGUAAUGUCUGGGAAACUGCCUGAUGGAGGGGGAUAACAACUGGAAACGGUAGCUAAUACCGCAUACCAUCAGAUGUGCCCAGAUGGGAUUAGCUAGGCGGUGGGGUAACGGCUCACCUAGGCGACGAUCCCUAGCUGGUCUGAGAGGAUGGCCAGCCUCACUGGAACUGAUACACGGUCCAGACUCCUACGGGUGGCAGCGGUGGGGAAUAUUGCACAAUGGGCGCGAGCCUGUUGCAGCCAUGCCGCGUUUGUGAAGAAGGCCUUCGGGUUGUAAAGCACUUUCAGCGGGGAGGCGUUACCCGCAGAAGAAGCACCGGCUAACUCCGUGCCAGCAGCCGCGGUAAUAC
Molecule: ribosomal RNA, 406 nt
Filed under: uncultured bacterium
Lineage: Bacteria
Description: partial 16S ribosomal RNA
Rfam family: Bacterial small subunit ribosomal RNA
Source: RNAcentral